Molecule: ribosomal RNA, 372 nt
Filed under: uncultured soil bacterium
Lineage: Bacteria
Description: bacterial SSU rRNA
Rfam family: Bacterial small subunit ribosomal RNA
Source: RNAcentral
AGGAUGAACGCUGGCGGCGUGCUUAACACAUGCAAGUCGAACGAUGAAGGCUGGAGCUUGCUCUGGCUGGAUUAGUGGCGAACGGGUGAGUAACACGUGAGUAACCUGCCCCAGACUCUGGGAUAAGCGCUGGAAACGGCGUCUAAUACCGGAUACGAGCUUCCACCGCAUGGUGAGGAGCUGGAAAGAAUUUCGGUCUGGGAUGGACUCGCGGCCUAUCAGCUUGUUGGUGAGGUAAUGGCUCACCAAGGCGACGACGGGUAGCCGGCCUGAGAGGGUGACCGGCCACGACUGGGACUGAGACACGGCCCAGACUCCGUACGGGAGCAGGCAGUGGGGAAUAUGCACAAGUGGGCGCAAGCCUGAUGCAGC